Molecule: ribosomal RNA, 525 nt
Filed under: uncultured bacterium
Lineage: Bacteria
Description: bacterial SSU rRNA
Rfam family: Bacterial small subunit ribosomal RNA
Source: RNAcentral
ACAUCCAGAGAACUUAGCAGAGAUGCUUUGGUGCCUUCGGGAACUCUGAGACAGGUGCUGCAUGGCUGUCGUCAGCUCGUGUUGUGAAAUGUUGGGUUAAGUCCCGCAACGAGCGCAACCCUUAUCCUUUGUUGCCAGCGGUUCGGCCGGGAACUCAAAGGAGACUGCCGGUGAUAAACCGGAGGAAGGCGGGGAUGACGUCAAGUCAUCAUGGCCCUUACGGCCAGGGCUACACACGUGCUACAAUGGCGCAUACAAAGAGAAGCGACCUCGCGAGAGCAAGCGGACCUCAUAAAGUGCGUCGUAGUCCGGAUUGGAGUCUGCAACUCGACUCCAUGAAGUCGGAAUCGCUAGUAAUCGUAGAUCAGAAUGCUACGGUGAAUACGUUCCCGGGCCUUGUACACACCGCCCGUCACACCAUGGGAGUGGGUUGCAAAAGAAGUAGGUAGCUUAACCUUCGGGAGGGCGCUUACCACUUUGUGAUUCAUGACUGGGGUGAAGUCGUAACAAGGUAAGCGUAGCGAG